RNAcentral lists this ribosomal RNA (253 nucleotides) under uncultured bacterium. Its description in RNAcentral is "partial 16S ribosomal RNA". It matches the Rfam family "Bacterial small subunit ribosomal RNA", at positions 524 to 776 of the family's 1533-position model. The record is from RNAcentral.
UACGUAGGCAGCAAGCGUUGUUCGGAAUUACUGGGCGUAAAGAGUGUGUAGGCGGUGCUCUAAGUCUGUUGUGAAAUCUCCCGGCUUAACCGGGAGGGUGCGGCGGAAACUGGAGUGCUUGAGGGUGGGAGAGGUAAGCGGAAUUCCUGGUGUAGCGGUGAAAUGCGUAGAUAUCAGGAGGAACACCUGUGGUGUAGACAGCUUACUGGACCACUUCUGGCGCUGAGACACGAAAGCGUGGGUAGCAAACAGG